GAUGAACGCUGACAGAAUGCUUAACACAUGCAAGUCAACUUGAAUUUGGGUUUUUAACUUAGGUUUGGGUGGCGGACGGGUGAGUAACGCGUAAAGAACUUGCCUCACAGCUAGGGACAACAUUUGGAAACGAAUGCUAAUACCUAAUAUUAUGAUAAUAGGGCAUCCUAUAAUUAUGAAAGCUAUAAGCGCUGUGAGAGAGCUUUGCGUUCCAUUAGCUCGUUGGAGAGUUAACGGCCCACCAAGGCGAUGAUGGGUAGCCGGCCUGAGAGGGUGAUAGGCCACAAGGGGACUGAGACACGGCCCUUACUCCUUCGGGAGGAAACAGUGGGGAAUAUUGGACAAUGGACCGGGUGUUUGAUCCAGCAAUUCUGUGUGUACGAUGAAGUUUUUCGGAAUGGAAAGUGCUUUCAGUAGAGAAGAAACAAAUGACGGUACCAACAGAAGAAGUGACGGCUAAAUACGUG
This 467-nucleotide ribosomal RNA is filed under the name uncultured bacterium. RNAcentral's name for it is "partial 16S ribosomal RNA". It matches the Rfam family "Bacterial small subunit ribosomal RNA", at positions 28 to 507 of the family's 1533-position model. The record is from RNAcentral.